RNAcentral lists this ribosomal RNA (524 nucleotides) under uncultured bacterium. Its description in RNAcentral is "bacterial SSU rRNA". It matches the Rfam family "Bacterial small subunit ribosomal RNA", at positions 1 to 526 of the family's 1533-position model. The record is from RNAcentral.
UAGAGUUUGAUCCUGGCUCAGAUUGAACGCUGGCGGCAGGCCUAACACAUGCAAGUCGAGCGGAUGAAGGGAGCUUGCUCCUGGAUUCAGCGGCGGACGGGUGAGUAAUGCCUAGGAAUCUGCCUGGUAGUGGGGGAUAACGUCCGGAAACGGGCGCUAAUACCGCAUACGUCCUGAGGGAGAAAGUGGGGGAUCUUCGGACCUCACGCUAUCAGAUGAGCCUAGGUCGGAUUAGCUAGUUGGUGGGGUAAAGGCCUACCAAGGCGACGAUCCGUAACUGGUCUGAGAGGAUGAUCAGUCACACUGGAACUGAGACACGGUCCAGACUCCUACGGGAGGCAGCAGUGGGGAAUAUUGGACAAUGGGCGAAAGCCUGAUCCAGCCAUGCCGCGUGUGUGAAGAAGGUCUUCGGAUUGUAAAGCACUUUAAGUUGGGAGGAAGGGCAGUAAGUUAAUACCUUGCUGUUUUGACGUUACCAACAGAAUAAGCACCGGCUAACUUCGUGCCAGCAGCCGCGGUAAUAC